GCACCUGGAGCUCAGUGGAUAAAGCGUUUGUUUCCUAAGCAGAGGUCGUUGGUUCGACCCCUGUAUAGCGCG
RNAcentral lists this transfer RNA (72 nucleotides) under Salix viminalis (osier). The record is from RNAcentral. Lineage: Eukaryota; Viridiplantae; Streptophyta; Magnoliopsida; Malpighiales; Salicaceae.